RNAcentral lists this long non-coding RNA (556 nucleotides) under Rattus norvegicus (Norway rat). RNAcentral's name for it is "long non-coding RNA NONRATT030564". The record is from RNAcentral. Lineage: Eukaryota; Metazoa; Chordata; Mammalia; Rodentia; Muridae.
CUUACAGAAUUUGCAAAUACAUAAUACCACCGCCCAACAAAUUACUUUGACGACUGUUCAGACACUCCCGCUUGGUCAAGUUGCAGCAGGUGGAGCAGUUGACUUCAACUCCAGGUAGUCUAAGCACUGGUCAGUUGCCAAAUCUACAGACAGUUACAGUAAAUUCUAUAGAUUCUAUAUAUCCAGGAGAGAAUGCUGACAGUCCUGCAGAUAUUAGGACCAAGGAGGAAGAGCCUGAUCCUGAAGAGUGGCAGCACAGUGGUGAUUCUACACUGAAUACCAAUGACCUAACACACGAGUACAAGUGGUAGUUGAAGAAGGGGACCAACAACAUCAAGAAGGAAAAAGACUUUGGAGGGUAGCGUGCACCUGUCACAACUGUAAAGAAGAUGGUGGGAGAGGUACCAAUCUUGGGAAAAAGAAGCAACACAUUUGUCAUAUACCAACAUGUGGUAAAGUCUAUGGGAAGACCUCACAUCUGAGAGCACAUUUAUGUUGGCACAUCUGGGGGAGCACCCUUUUAUUUGUAACUGGAUGUUUGUGGUAAAAGAUUUAC